Molecule: ribosomal RNA, 389 nt
Filed under: uncultured Bacteroidota bacterium
Lineage: Bacteria; Pseudomonadati; Bacteroidota
Description: bacterial SSU rRNA
Rfam family: Bacterial small subunit ribosomal RNA
Source: RNAcentral
AGAGUUUGAUCAUGGCUCAGGAUGAACGCUAGCGGCAGGCUUAAUACAUGCAAGUCGAGGGGCAGCAGGGCUGUAGCAAUACAGUCGCUGGCGACCGGCAAACGGGUGCGGAACACGUACGCAACUUACCCAUAACAGGGGCAUAGCCCGGGGAAACCCGGAUUAAUACCCCGUAACAUAGUGAGCAGGCAUCUGCUUAUUAUUAAAGUCUUCGGACGGUUAUGGAUGGGCGUGCGGCUGAUUAGGUAGUUGGCGGGGUAACGGCCCACCAAGCCUGCGAUCAGUAACUGGUGUGAGAGCACGACCAGUCACACGGGCACUGAGACACGGGCCCGACUCCUACGGGAGGCAGCAGUUAGGAAUAUUGGUCAAUGGACGCAAGUCUGAAC